This is a long non-coding RNA of Ipomoea triloba (trilobed morning glory), 1423 nucleotides long. RefSeq lists it as uncharacterized. The transcript has 2 exons. Lineage: Eukaryota; Viridiplantae; Streptophyta; Magnoliopsida; Solanales; Convolvulaceae. The record is from RefSeq and is a predicted model, not a curated record.
GUCUGUACAUUCCGGCAAAGCUCCCUGGUGUUUCUAUCUGGCGGUCUAAGCGGCGUAAGAGAAGUUCAUCCGUUGGUGGUCUAGUAUCUCUUGUUUCUAUUUUUUUUGGCGUAAGAGGAGUUCAUCUGGUGGUGGUUCAGGUGUGUGGGUAUCAAUUACUCAUUCUUACGGUGAAGCCAACAUGGUAGGAGAUGCAUUAACAUCAAUGGGAUGUUCUCUCAAUUCCCCUUCCCUUUAUUUUAUUUUCAAUUCCUUACCACUAUUUGUUCGUGAUCCUCUGUUGUUUGACUCGCGGGGUUUUUCUUCCCUGAUAUGUUUUUAUUCAAUAAAUUAAUUUUGUGAGAAAAAAAUUAUGAAACCGCGUCCAUUAAUUAAAAAAAAAAAGGUAUGUGCGUAUCAAUUCUGUGGUAUGUGCAACCCUAAUAUUUGUGUUGAAAUAAAGUGAUAAAUGUUUUGGAUGUAAAUACCAAAAAUGUGUAUGAUGAACACUUUGAAUAUGCAUGUCAUUUUUCUUGGUUAAGGUGGUUUCCUACAAUUAUGAUUUUAUAGAGUUGUUAAAUAUAUUCUGGAUAACACUAUUUAAGAAUUAUCAUAGAGUAUAGACAAAUCACUGCAACAUGGAAGCAUAAUAAUAUAGCUUUGACAAUUUUAAAAAGUUUCAUAUUUUAUACGAAUUAUUUUCUUUAUACCAUGAAAAUAUGGUUUUUGGGUUUGCGUAUGAAUGGCAGAAUGGUGGGACUGUUGUUAUUUGUUGUAUGGGGGAAUUGUUGUUUUUUUUGGGUGAUGUAUUAAAAAUAUUUUUUUCGUGUUGGGGUGUGUGUCGGAAUGGUGGAGUGUGUAAAUGGAUAGUGGAAUAGAGGAAAUAAGUGUGAUGUGAAUCGUUUUUCAGUUUGUGCGAGACAGACUUAGCGUGUGUGCGUAGUCGAGCAUCAUAAUUUGGGUGUGUGCAUUUUAGUUUAGGAGUAUGUGCAUUUUGGGGUGGGGGGAUGAUGAUGGAUUUUGUUUGUGGUAUGGGUGUUGAGGUGGGUUUGUGCUAGGGGGAUGGUGUGUGCUGUUUAUUGAUUUGGUGUGGGCAUUCUAGUGUGGGUGUGUGCUGUUCGUUGUUAGUGUGUGCCAUUGGGGUGCGCAUUUCAGUCGGGGGUGUGUGCUGUGGGGUAUUUGUUGUGUUUUUUGUCCCCUUCUUUUAGGGUUUGUUGGUGCAAUGUAUGAAUGCAGGCAGAACUGAAGGGGCAAGUAGAUGAGGGGCUAUUUUCCUUCCCACCACAGUCGAAAUUGUCCCAAUGUAGAAUAUAGAGUUGUAAUUUAAUUUUUUUUUUCAAUUUAACCGUUAUUGUGAACAAAAUGUAUUUUUUUAACCUUUGAAUAAAAUAAUCGCCCUAGCAUUAUGAUUUUUAAAUCAUCAAGUGAAUUGAUAUUUCAGUUA